RNAcentral lists this ribosomal RNA (445 nucleotides) under uncultured bacterium. Its description in RNAcentral is "partial 16S ribosomal RNA". It matches the Rfam family "Bacterial small subunit ribosomal RNA", at positions 354 to 796 of the family's 1533-position model. The record is from RNAcentral.
GUGGGGAAUUUUGGACAAUGGGCGGGAGCCUGAACCAGCCAAGUCGCGUGAAGGAAGAAGGAUCUAUGGUUCGUAAACUUCUUUUGCAGGGGAAUAAAGUGCAGGACGUGUCCUGUUUUGUAUGUACCCUGAGAAUAAGGAUCGGCUAACUCCGUGCCAGCAGCCGCGGUAAUACGGAGGAUCCGAGCGUUAUCCGGAUUUAUUGGGUUUAAAGGGUGCGUAGGUGGUUUGAUAAGUCAGCGGUGAAAGUUUGCAGCUUAACUGUAAAAAUGCCGUUGAAACUGUCGGACUUGAGUGUAAAUGAGGUAGGCGGAAUGCGUGGUGUAGCGGUGAAAUGCAUAGAUAUCACGCAGAACUCCGAUUGCGAAGGCAGCUUACUAAGCUACAACUGACACUGAAGCACGAAAGCGUGGGGAUCAAACAGGAUUAGAUACCCGUGUAGUCC